AGAGUUGAUCAUGGCUCAGGACGAACGCUGGCGGCGUGCUAACACAUGCAAGUCGAGCGAUGAAGCUCUUCGGAAGUGGAUUAGCGGCGGACGGGUGAGUAACACGUGGGUAACCUGCCUCAUAGAGGGGAAUAGCCUUCCGAAAGGAAGAUUAAUACCGCAUAAGAUUGUAAUAUCGCAUGAUAUAGCAAUUAAAGGAGUAAUCCGCUAUGAGAUGGACCCGCGUCGCAUUAGCUAGUUGGUGAGGUAACGGCUCACCAAGGCGACGAUGCGUAGCCGACCUGAGAGGGUGAUCGGCCACAUUGGGACUGAGACACGGCCCAGACUCCUACGGGAGGCAGCAGUGGGGAAUAUUGCACAAUGGGGGAAACCCUGAUGCAGCCAACGCCGCGUGAGUGAUGACGGUCUUCGGAUUGUAAAGCUCUGUCUUCAGGGACGAUAAUGACGGUACCUGAGGAGGAAGCCACGGCUAACUACGUGCCAGCCGCUGC
Molecule: ribosomal RNA, 491 nt
Filed under: uncultured bacterium
Lineage: Bacteria
Description: bacterial SSU rRNA
Rfam family: Bacterial small subunit ribosomal RNA
Source: RNAcentral